This 889-nucleotide long non-coding RNA is filed under the name Mytilus galloprovincialis (Mediterranean mussel). The record is from RNAcentral. Lineage: Eukaryota; Metazoa; Mollusca; Bivalvia; Mytilida; Mytilidae.
UUCUUGGUUUAAUGGUUAUAAUUAAGUUUUUGUGUUUUGGUCUGUUUUUCUUAAUCUGUUUGCAAUAGGUUUACUAUAUUUGAUGUAUGGAAUGAUUGUAAGGUGUACAUGUCUAGCUGGCAGGUGUCAAUUGGCCUUGAACUCAUUUUCAUGGUUCAGUGGUUACAGUUAAGUGUUUUGAGUUUUGGUCUUUUUUUCUAUUACUAUAUGCAAUAGGUCAACGGAUUUGGCUAUACUUCUUGGACCUUUUGGAUUAUAGCUCUUCAUCUUUUAUAUAAGCUUUUGAUUUCAAAUAUUUUGGCCACGAGCAUCACUGAAGAGACAUGUUUUGUCGAAAUGCGCAUCUGGUGCAAGAAAAUUGGUACCGUUAAUAUUAUUAUUUGUUGUAUGCAAAUAUAUCAUUAUGUAUUUGUCAUUAUCGCUAUUUUGUGCAUUUUGCCUUUGAUCUUUUUUUGUGAUAAUUUUUCAGUUCGUGCUACUUGCUUGAGAAGGAAAAUUAUAGCUAAAAACUAAGCAGGCACGUGGCGUUGCUAGAAUAGCUAUAAACAGAUUAUCAUUGGUCAUCUCAACUCGAUUGCCUUUCUCGAUUUCGCCGUCCCGGUUCAAGCGAGAAAAUCAAUCUCGUUGAGAUGAUCAACGAUAUUCUAAAUAAAGUCUCGCAGGUUUAAUUGACUUUGAUCUCAUUUUCACGGUUCAUUGCUCAGGUUAAUUUUUUGUGUUUUGGUCAAUUUUUCUUAAACUAUAAGCAAUAGGUCAACAAUACUUGUUGUAUAGAAGAAUUAUAAGCUCCAAUUUGAUUUCAUUCAACAAAUUAAUUCAUGACCUGCAUGUAUACGCUUAGAACACGGCAACGUAACAAAUGGUGAAUAUUUAUCAUCCGUGUAAUUUG